Non-coding RNA from Brassica napus (rape), 86 nucleotides. The record is from Rfam. Lineage: Eukaryota; Viridiplantae; Streptophyta; Magnoliopsida; Brassicales; Brassicaceae.
GUGAGAGAUGACGAAAGAAAUCAUUCGGAUUCCCAUUGAUUUCCUUAGUGAUAUAUGUGAUCACAAACCAGCUACUUCUGAUUCAU